Non-coding RNA from Phrynosoma platyrhinos (Desert horned lizard), 73 nucleotides. NCBI's taxonomy places the organism in Eukaryota, Metazoa, Chordata, Lepidosauria, Squamata, Phrynosomatidae. The record is from the annotation of a GenBank genome assembly.
UUCAAAAGUGGUGUAGUGCUUUGAGUGCUGGACUAUGACUCUGGAGACCAGGGUUCGAUUCCCAGCCAUGAAA